This 253-nucleotide ribosomal RNA is filed under the name uncultured bacterium. Its description in RNAcentral is "partial 16S ribosomal RNA". It matches the Rfam family "Bacterial small subunit ribosomal RNA", at positions 524 to 776 of the family's 1533-position model. The record is from RNAcentral.
UACGUAGGGUGCGAGCGUUAAUCGGAAUUACUGGGCGUAAAGCGUGCGCAGGCGGUUUUGUAAGCCAGAUGUGAAAUCCCCGGGCUUAACCUGGGAAUGGCAUUUGGGACUGCAAGGCUGGAGUGCGGCAGAGGAGACUGGAAUUCCGGGUGUAGCGGUGAAAUGCGUAGAUAUCCGGAGGAACACCGGUGGCGAAGGCGGCUUCCUGGACCGACACUGACGCUGAGGCGCGAAAGCUAGGGGAGCAAACGGG